Molecule: non-coding RNA, 25 nt
Filed under: Cricetulus griseus (Chinese hamster)
Lineage: Eukaryota; Metazoa; Chordata; Mammalia; Rodentia; Cricetidae
Source: RNAcentral
GGGCGCUCGGGUCUGGCGCGAUCGG